AUUGAACGCUGGCGGCAGGCCUAACACAUGCAAGUCGAACGGUAACAGGAAACAGCUUGCUGUUUCGCUGACGAGUGGCGGACGGGUGAGUAAUGUCCGGGAAACUGCCUGAUGGAGGGGGAUAACUACUGGAAACGGUAGCUAAUACCGCAUAACGUCGCAAGACCAAAGAGGGGGACCUUCGGGCCUCUUGCCAUCGGAUGUGCCCAGAUGGGAUUAGCUAGUAGGUGGGGUAACGGCUCACCUAGGCGACGAUCCCUAGCUGGUCUGAGAGGAUGACCAGCCACACUGGAACUGAGACACGGUCCAGACUCCUACGGGAGGCAGCAGUGGGGAAUAUUGCACAAUGGGCGCAAGCCUGAUGCAGCCAUGCCGCGUGUAUGAAGAAGGCCUUCGGGUUGUAAAGUACUUUCAGCGGGGAGGAAGGGAGUAAAGUUAAUACCUUGGCUCAUUGACGUUACCCGCAGAAGAAGCACCGGCUAACUCCGUG
This 490-nucleotide ribosomal RNA is filed under the name uncultured bacterium. RNAcentral describes it as "partial 16S ribosomal RNA". It matches the Rfam family "Bacterial small subunit ribosomal RNA", at positions 30 to 507 of the family's 1533-position model. The record is from RNAcentral.